This 1699-nucleotide ribosomal RNA is filed under the name Mermis sp. K-06. RNAcentral's name for it is "SSU rRNA". It matches the Rfam family "Eukaryotic small subunit ribosomal RNA". The record is from RNAcentral. Lineage: Eukaryota; Metazoa; Nematoda; Enoplea; Mermithida; Mermithidae.
CAUAUGCUUGUCUCAAAGAUUAAGCCAUGCAUGUCUAAGCACAAGCCUUAAAAAUGGUGAAGCCGCGAAUGGCUCGGUAUAACAGCUAUGGUUUAUUAGAUUUUUGUCUAAUACUUGGAUAACUGUGGUAAUUCUAGAGCUAAUACAUGCGUGAAAGCUCAAACCUUACGGAAUGAGCGCAUUUAUUAGAUCAAAACCAAUCGGACUUUUGUUCGUGUUUUGGUGACUCUGAAUAACUCAGUGGAUCGCACAGUCUCGCACUGGCGACGUAUCUUUCAAAUGUCUGCCUUAUCAACUUUCGAUGGUAGGUUAUACGCCUACCAUGGUUAUAACGGGUAACGGAGAAUAAGGGUUCGACUCCGGAGAGGGAGCCUGAGAAACGGCUACCACAUCCAAGGAAGGCAGCAGGCGCGCAAAUUACCCAAUCCCGGUACGGGGAGGUAGUGACGAAAAAUAACGAGAUAGUCCACUUUGUGGCCUGUCAUCGGAAUGGGUACAAUUUAAAUCCUUUAACGAGGAUCUAUUAGAGGGCAAGUCUGGUGCCNGCAGCCGCGGUAAUUCCAGCUCUAAUAGCGUAUAUUAAAGUUUGUUGUGGUUAAACGCCCGUAGUUGAUUUUUCGAUCUGGAUGUUGGUGGCACUUUUGUGUUCAACUGACUAUUUGGGUCUGAAUUUGAGUUUUCUAUCGAUGCUCUUAAUUGGGUGUUGUUAGUGACUUGAACGUUUACUUUGAAAAAAUUAGAGUGCUUAAAGCAAGCUUUUCGCUUGAAUAGAGUGCAUGGGAUAAUKGAAUAGGACUUUAGUCUUAUUUUGUUGGUUUUAGAGAUUGAAGUAAUGAUUAAGAGGAACAGACGGGGGCAUUCGUAUUGUUGCGUUAGAGGUGAAAUUCUUGGAUCGCAGCAAGACGAACAACUGCGAAAGCAUUUGCCAAGAAUGUUUUCAUUAAUCAAGGACGAAAGUUAGAGGUUCGAAGGCGAUCAGAUACCGCCCUAGUUCUAACCGUAAACGAUGCCAACUAGCCAUUCGCCGCGGUUAAUUAUAUGACUCGGCGGGCAGCUUCCGGGAAACCAAAGUUUUCUGGUUCCGGGGGAAGUAUGGUUGCAAAGCUUAAACUUAAAGGAAUUGACGGAAGGGCACCACCAGGAGUGGAGCCUGCGGCUUAAUUUGACUCAACACGGGAAAUCUCACCCGGCCAAGACACAGUUAGGAUUGACAGAUUGAUAGCUCUUUCUCGAUUUUGUGGGUGGUGGUGCAUGGCCGUUCUUAGUUGGUGGAGCGAUUUGUCUGGUUAAUUCCGAUAACGAACGAGACUCUAGCCUAUUAAAUAGACGCGAUAUUUGUUUGUGUAGCGUUCUUCUUAGAGGGACAAGCAGCGCAUAGCUGCACGAGAUUGAGCAAUAACAGGUCUGUGAUGCCCUUAGAUGUCCGGGGCUGCACGCGCGCUACAAUGAAGGUAGCAAAGUGCUUGGCAUCCUAGUCUGGAAAGACAUGGUAAACACGAAUUAUUUUCGUGCUUGGGAUAGGGAAUUGAAAUUAUUUCCCUUGAACGAGGAAUUUCUAGUAAGUGUGAGUCAUAAGCUCACGUUGAUUACGUCCCUGCCCUUUGUACACACCGCCCGUCGCUACUACCGAUUGAAGCAUUCGUUGAAGACGAGGGAUUCGGUCCACGGAGGCCUAAAAACCGCCAUGUGAUUGGAAAAC